GAGAAGCAAAGCUGGGGAGCAACGGAUUAGAUACCCGGUAGUCCUGCCGUAAACGUUGGGCGCUAGGUGUGGGACUCAUUCCACGAGUUCCGUGCCGCAGCUAACGCAUUAAGCGACCCGCCUGGGGAGUACGGCCGCAAGGCUAAAACUCAAAGGAAUUGACGGGGGCCCGCACAAGCGGCGGAGACAUGCGGAUUAAUUCGAUGCAACGCGAAGAACCUUACCAAGGCUUGACCAUAUACCGGAAACAUCCAGAGAUG
This 260-nucleotide ribosomal RNA is filed under the name uncultured Actinomycetes bacterium. Its description in RNAcentral is "uncultured actinobacterium partial 16S rRNA". It matches the Rfam family "Bacterial small subunit ribosomal RNA", at positions 748 to 1008 of the family's 1533-position model. Lineage: Bacteria; Bacillati; Actinomycetota; Actinomycetes. The record is from RNAcentral.